This 439-nucleotide ribosomal RNA is filed under the name uncultured bacterium. RNAcentral's name for it is "bacterial SSU rRNA". It matches the Rfam family "Bacterial small subunit ribosomal RNA", at positions 28 to 507 of the family's 1533-position model. The record is from RNAcentral.
GAUGAACGCUGGCGGUAUGCCUAACACAUGCAAGUCGUACGAGAGUUUUUAACUCUAGUGGCGGACGGGUGAGUAACACGUGAGAAUUUGCCUUUAGGAGGGGGAUAACAAUUGGAAACGAAUGCUAAUACCCCAUAUGCUUUUGAGUGAAACGGAUUUAUCCGCCUAGAGAGAAGCUCGCGGCCGAUUAGCUUGUUGGUAAGGUAAGAGCUUACCAAGGCGACGAUCAGUAUCUGGUUUGAGAGGACGAUCAGACACACUGGAACUGAGACACGGUCCAGACUCCUACGGGAGGCAGCAGUGGGGAAUUUUCCGCAAUGGGCGAAAGCCUGACGGAGCAAUACCGCGUGAGGGAAGACUGCCUAUGGGUUGUAAACCUCUUUUUUCAGGGAGGAAUAAAUGACGUGUACCUGAAGAAUAAGCAUCGGCUAACUCCGUG